RNAcentral lists this small nucleolar RNA (73 nucleotides) under Pelecanus crispus (Dalmatian pelican). Its description in RNAcentral is "Small nucleolar RNA SNORD58". It matches the Rfam family "Small nucleolar RNA SNORD58". From Rfam's summary of the family: snoRNA U58 is found in introns 1, 3 and 6 of the ribosomal protein RPL17 gene in humans. U58 is a member of the C/D class of snoRNA which contain C (UGAUGA) and D (CUGA) box motifs. Most of the members of the box C/D family function in directing site-specific 2'-O-methylation of substrate RNAs. The record is from Rfam by way of RNAcentral. Lineage: Eukaryota; Metazoa; Chordata; Aves; Pelecaniformes; Pelecanidae.
UUGCUGUGAUGACCAUCUUAGGACACCUUUGGAAUAACCAUGAAAAAAACCCAAGUUGUUAUUUCUGAGCAAC